RNAcentral lists this unclassified non-coding RNA (328 nucleotides) under soil metagenome. Its description in RNAcentral is "partial contains 5.8S ribosomal RNA, internal transcribed spacer 2, and large subunit ribosomal RNA". The stretch from base 1 to 120 matches the Rfam family "5.8S ribosomal RNA", at positions 35 to 154 of the family's 154-position model. The record is from RNAcentral.
GAUGAAGAAUGUAGCGAAAUGCGAUAAGUAAUGUGAAUUGCAGAAUUCAGUGAAUCAUCGAAUCUUUGAACGCACAUUGCGCCCCUUGGUAUUCCGAGGGGCAUGCCCGUUCGAGCGUCAUUAUACCCCUCAAGCCUAGCUUGGUGUUGGGGCCUGCUGUUACCGGCAGCCCUUAAAAUCAGUGGCGGUGCCAUCUGGCUCUAAGCGUAGUAAUACUUCUCGCUACAGGGUCCCGGUGGAUGCUUGCCAUCAACCCCUAAUUUUCUAUGGUUGACCUCGGAUCGGGUAGGGAUACCCGCUGAACUUAAGCAUAUCAAUAAGCGGAGGA